UACGGAGGGUGCAAGCGUUAUCCGGAUUCACUGGGUUUAAAGGGUGUGUAGGCGGGUAAUUAAGUCAGUGGUGAAAUCUCCAGGCUCAACCUGGAAACUGCCAUUGAUACUAUUUAUCUUGAAUCCUGUUGAGGUGGGCGGAAUAUAUCAUGUAGCGGUGAAAUGCUUAGAUAUGAUAUAGAACACCGAUUGCGAAGGCAGCUCACUAAACAGGCAUUGACGCUGAGGCACGAAAGCGUGGGGAUCAAACAGGAUUAGAAACCCUCGUAGUCC
Molecule: ribosomal RNA, 273 nt
Filed under: uncultured bacterium
Lineage: Bacteria
Description: partial 16S ribosomal RNA
Rfam family: Bacterial small subunit ribosomal RNA
Source: RNAcentral